UCCCCUGAUAAGGGAAAGGUCAGUGGUUCGAGUCCACUUAGGCCCACUAUCUUGUAGCAAAAGAUUAGAAAGAGGGGAUGUAGCUCAAUUGGGAGAGCGCUGCCCUUGCAAGGCAGAGGUUAGCGGUUCGACCCCGCUCAUCUCCACCACUUUGA
RNAcentral lists this transfer RNA (155 nucleotides) under uncultured Planctomycetota bacterium. RNAcentral's name for it is "uncultured planctomycete partial 16S-23S ribosomal RNA intergenic spacer". The stretch from base 74 to 146 matches the Rfam family "tRNA". Lineage: Bacteria; Pseudomonadati; Planctomycetota. The record is from RNAcentral.